This 160-nucleotide ribosomal RNA is filed under the name Escherichia coli. Its description in RNAcentral is "partial 23S ribosomal RNA". It matches the Rfam family "Bacterial large subunit ribosomal RNA", at positions 1 to 161 of the family's 2925-position model. Lineage: Bacteria; Pseudomonadati; Pseudomonadota; Gammaproteobacteria; Enterobacterales; Enterobacteriaceae. The record is from RNAcentral.
GGUUAAGCGACUAAGCGUACACGGUGGAUGCCUUGGCAGUCAGAGGCGAUGAAGGACGUGCUAAUCUGCGAUAAGCGUCGGUGAGGUGAUAUGAACCGUUAUAACCGGCGAUUUCCGAAUGGGGAAACCCAGUGUGUUUCGACACACUAUCAUUAACUGA